AUUGGUUCUGGAAGUUUUGGCUCAGUUUACAAAGGCAUUCUCAGAAGUGGAACUGCCAUUGCAGUUAAAGUGUUCAACCUGCAACUGGAUGCGGCAUUCAAGACUUUUGAUACGGAAUGUGAAGUUUUCUGUAGCCUUCUCCAUAGGAAUCUCGUAAAAGUCAUUACUAGUUGUUCCAAUCUUGAUUUCAAGGCUUUAGUGCUCGAGUAUAUGCCUAAUGGAAGUCUUGAGAAGUAUUUGUAUUCGUACAACUACUUCCUUGACACCAAGAAGAGACUUAGCAUAAUGAUAGAUGUGGCAUGUGCUUUGGAAUAUCUUCACCGUGGGUGCUCGUUGCUUGUGAUUCACUGUGACGUGAAGCCUAGUAACGUCUUGCUGUAUGAAGACAUGGCUGCACACCUAAGCGACUUUGACAUUGCAAAACUUCUUGGUGAAGAUGAGGGUUAUUUAAACACUAAAACCUUACAACAUUAGUUUAUAUUGCGCCAGGUAUGUGAUACAAGAAUUACAAGGACAACACAAAACACACUUCAAAAUCAGUCCACAAGAUCAAAGAUCCGAGAACCCUUUUGAAGACCACACUCGGAUUCAACAAACAACAACAAGAAUACAAUGUAUUGUUGUGUUUAUCACCUAAAAACAUCUAACAACAAACUAUGUUAACAACAACAAGAUGAAGAACAACAACAAUGGAACAAGAACAACAAGUCACGGAUUUGAAUUACAAGAACACAAACAAACGAUUACAACAUAAACAAAAUGGAUAGAUAGUUAGACAUUGGUUGGUAUAAUCUUAAGAAUCCAAGAAUAUGGUAAUCUUGGACCCUUAACACUACACACAACGGUUAGCCUAACUCCUACGUUGACACAAGAGGAACUUUACCUCCUCUAAACACCCUCUCAAGCCAACAUUGCAACACAAGUGAUAUCCGCACUUGUUUCCCUCAUUUCGGUGUGGUGGCUAUUCCAAGCCCUACAACUAAAGGUUUUUCAUGUUUCAAGUCUUACAUCAAUGAACAACUAAUGAGAAAAAGACCUAAAAUUUUCUAUUUAUAUUCUAUUACAAGACAAGACAAAAUGACAACAAUGCCCUUAAAGGGUGGGGUGGCCAUGGGACCCAAUGAAGUGACCAAAAUACCCUUAAUGAAGAUGACCAAAUCAUGACCCAUUAAGUGUUUUCCAAAACCGUGAGUCCUCAAGUCUUCGAUGCUCCAAGCAAUCUUCCACACACGGCCUUGCUUGUGCUCAAAACGGGUCUUCCUUGCAUAUCCUUGUGCCCUCGGGGUGACCAAGUCUUGAGCCUUUAAAUGAUGACCUCCAAUCGUGUCUUCAAAAAUUAAGGUGGCCAUUUGACUUGUAUCAUUAUGUCUCUUAGUUUUGCUGGUUACUCCUUUCUUUUUUUCCCACCUAGAAAGUAUAUUGCAUCUUUAAAUGAAUUGUUUGACUGUAGAGUAUGGACUGGAUGGACUAGUGUCUACAAAGUGUGAUGUCUACAGUUAUGCGGUCUUGUUUCUGGAAACGUUUACUAGGAGAAAGCCUAAUGAGUUUGAGGGAGAUCUUAGCUUGAAGCAAUGGGUGAGUUAUUCACUUCCUGGAGCAGUAAUGGACGUCGUAGAUUCCAACUUGGUAACCCAAACGGGUAGUCGCUUACAGAUGGAGCUAGAUGUUGUGGGAUCAAUAAUGAAAGUGGCUAUAGAUUGUUGUGCUGAAUCUCCGGCAAGAAGGACUAACAUGAAAGAUGUUGUAGGGAUGCUACAGAAGAUCAAUAUUCAACUUCUUGCAUGCUAAGCAUAUUCUCGGAAUCUCUCCAUCCAGACUACUUGUUUGUUGCAAAAGUUUUCUAAAUUGUUGGAUUUAUGUGAAGAUUGUUAUUAUUUUUAUUUUUUGUUUUAGUACUUGGUUUCUGGAUGAUUCCUUUUUCAGAAAUGUUAGCUGGCUGCUGUGAAUCUUAGAUUCUGUUUUCAGAAAUGCUAGCUGGUUAGUAUGAAUCUUACUGUUUCCUCUUUAAAUUGAAUAACUAAAACCAAAUUGAUCCUCUUGAAAAUCUUGAAGCGGAAUGAAUUUGUUUUAAAUGUCUUACAUUGGAAACACUAUCAGGACAUAUAACAUCAUGACAACAAGCAUAACGGGCAAUGAAAAAAAUGCUAUAUAUCAUAAAGCUAAACGAUAAAAAAGGCAGCUCAGUGCACGAAGAUCUUGCAUUCACACGGGAUAUGGAGAAGGAUCGCCCCCAGGUAUUGUAACACAGCCAACCUACCCGACACAAAUAGCAAUGACUGAUUCCACGACUCAAACUCGUGACCUAUAGGUCAUGCUUCCCUAGAAGCUUACAUGACGAUAAGUGAAGAAAAAAGAAAAUUUGCAUUAUCUUUUUACAUUCUUUUUUCAAUACAGUACUGAUAUGAAACUCUAAUGAAGCAGAAAAUCAGGCAACAUUCUUCAAGAUUUUCCAAAUCAACCAAUUAAGACUAGAAAAAAAUUUAAUUAGACCCCUCAAUGUUAAGUUCUAAUUUCUUGAGUUAUUAUUACAAAACUUCAUGUAUUUUGCACUGUAUCUGAGUCCUUUUCGCGGCCAUACCAAGCCUGUAAAUUUAACAAUGGACAGAGUUAAAUUAGCUCCAGGUAUGCCUCCUGUUCUGUUCGAGUAGUGUCUCACAGUCCCUUUUUGGUACAGUUGAUGGUGUGAGAGACAAGUCUAAAAAUGCAUUCUUUGCUCUUCGGGGCCCUUUGCCAUAUUAUCAGACUAACUCUAAAAAUGGCUCAUCGUUGAGGUGAUUCAGGUGCAGAAGUCUAGAAUCUUAUUAGUAUAGUCCUUUCUGAUUGAUUCAUAAAAGAUUACAAAAUUGUACAAGGAUUUGAGAGCAGUCCGUUAGUGCUUCAAGGUGUAUUGAUUCUAGUAUAAACUUUGAUCCUGAUGAAAUCGUGUUUUUUAGCCUGAGGUAUUAAGUGUAUUCAUACCCUUUCAAAAUUCUUGUUGCUGGGAAUGCUGUGUAGCAGAAUGUUGGAACUGUAUUUUCACCCGAGUAGUAGUAUAUGUUAAAGUGUCAUGACCUAUUGGUAGUGAGAUUGGGCCAAGAAGUUGGUGAUAUGAAGUCACAAGGUUAGAAGUCAGAGUGAGGGUGACUUUGUGUAAUAUUUGUAGAUUGUAAGGUAUUCGAUAAAGGAAGUGUUUGGCCGUGAUUAUUAUCUAUUCAAAUAGGGAAGGAUCUCAGAAUGGAUAGUUGUUGUGGGUAUAGAAAUCAGUUAUAGGUUGUAAAUGGAGAAGGAACAGAUUAGUUAAUAAGUUGUAGGAAAAGACUCAUUAUUGUUUAUUGAAUUUUGAAGGUCAUUUUGAUGUAUGAAUGGGUAAGUAAAUAUGAUAUGAGAAAUUAGAACAUGUUGAUAAGAUUGUAAUGGGUUAUAAUAUAAGAUUAAGGUUGACCAUGUUUAUUAUGUGACCUUACCUUCUUGACCUUCUUUUCUUUAGUGGUUGUAAACUAGUACUUCAUGUGAGAAGGUAUGUAGUAUAUUUUGAGCUGUAAUAGUGAUGUCGUGGAGGGGUUGUGAUUGUAGGUAGUAGUUAAAUGAAAUGAAGUAUUUUGAGUUGAUUUUCCAAUUUGACGGACUAGUAUAAUAUGUUGCAUGCUUCAUCGGUGGUACAUGGUUGUUGCUAGACUAUAGGCUUGAACUUUAAAUGUAGAACGUGGUGGUAAGAAUAGUAGCUUAAGAUUAAUGAUGCAUGUUUUGUGGAGAAAUUAGCAGGCUUGAUGUGAUGUGCGAAAUGGCCUAGGUUGAUGAUAUAUGAAAAGUUUAAGUGGUAAUCGUGAGGUAUAUGUGUACAUGAGGACUAGUCAUAAAACGAGGAAUUGUGGCUGAAUCAUUAUGUGGAUAAGAACAUGAGUCUAUGGGAAUAAGUUGAACCCCUGAUAGCACGUUGCUAAAUAGAGUUUUAUGUGUAUAAAUGUUUUGUGUACCUAGAUUUAAUUCUUGAAUCUUGUAGUAUGGAGAAGUUUGGAAAGUUUGCACAAAGGAUUGAUCUUGAUCAUCGAUUUCCACUGACAAUCCACUAACUCCGAAGCUAAUUUGAUCCAAUCUAGACUUUUGGAACAAAGACAGUGGCAUGUUACCAUUCAGAUUAUUCUUCUGAACAGAAAGAUACGAAAUCUUAGGAAGCUGAAGUAGGCACGAGGGAAGGCGUCCUGUUAGCUCGUUCCAUUCUAUAUUCAGGUACUCCAGUGAGAGGAUCUGACAAAUCGAAGUAGGAAUAUACCCUCGUAACCCAUUCUGGAACAUAAAUAAGUAUUGAAGGCUUGUCAAACUGGACAUGGAUACAGGAAGCUGGCCUGUGAUGUUGUCAUUAAGCAUCAAUAUAUGUAAUUUCUUAAGCUUUGUAAUGGAAGAAGGUAUUAACACUUGGAUCGAGCAUCCAUUAGCUAAGGGAACAGUUAAUGAAGUUGAGUUGCUUAAAGAAGGAGGAACCGUUCCACCUACCCGAGUGAAGCUUAUGUCAAGAUAUGUUAAACUUUGACCAUGGGACUGAAAACAUUGUAACAAGAUCUAUGGUCAUAGCAGGAUUGCUAGAAACAGAAAGUUUUUCGAGUUGAGGAAGAUAAGGGAUAUGACCAUCUACAUCGUUUCCACAAAAAUCAAGAGCUGAGAGGAUUGUGAGGUUCGAUAAAAUAUCAGGUAUCGAGGAUGUUAGAACGUUAGAACUCAUUUCUAGAGUAGAAAGACUAGUAAUAUUAAGUAAUUGCGCUGUCGGAAUUCUUCCUGAAAUGUUGCAGUUGGACAAUUGGAGUGACAUGAGAUUUGAAAGACUUGAUAUUGGUUUAGCCCAAUGAAAUGAUUCCGAGGACUUUGAUAGAUCAACACCUGUCAAUACUAGAUAUCUGAGACGUCGGAGUCCUUCUAACCACCUUAGAUUUGGACUAGACAAAUAACCAUAGCUUAUAAAAGAUAACAGUGAGCCAGAACCUAACUUUGGCGGUAAUGUCAAGCUAACAGUAAUAGAAGACGAAUCAGGUACUAAAUUAGCACACAAAAGAUCAAGAGACCUUAAAGAUGUAAGAUUUGAGAAUUGUGUGGUGAUGGAAUCUUGAAACAUGGAAUUCGACUAUGUCAACUUUGUUAAGUUCGAUAUCUCAGCAGGUAACUUUGAGAAAUGAAGUUGUUGAAACUCAGGUCGAGAUGUUGGAUAUGAUCAAGAGUGAAGAGCAAUGGAGAUAUAGUACCUUUAAGGAAAAAAUCGGACGCGUUGUUAGAAUCUGAAACAACUUCCUUAUUGACAUUGAUUAGGACUUCAUCUGGAUUAGGAUUCCGGAGAUUGACAACUGCAACAUGACCUGAACUCGAGCACUUGAUUCCUUUCCAUUGCAACAGUUUUCGCCCUUCCAUGAAGAUAACCGAUUAGAUGGAUCAGUCAGCAAGGAUUUGAAGCUCAAUAGAGCUGCUCUUUCUCCUUCAUAGCAACCACCAACGAGCAAAAAAGGGUAAAAUAGAGUAGCAAAUAUAAGGAAAACUUUCUUUAACCAAAUGAUUUCAAGAUGAUGAAAAAUAUCCUAGAUUGUCAAAUAUAACAUAUUUGUACCUGUUCUACUUAUACCCCUUGAACUAAAUUAUUCCAUUGGUUUUAAGAUAUAAUUUGAAAAAUGAGCUGGUUUUGACUUUGACAAAGUUAUCUGUCAUUCUAUAUUCCAUUGGUGUUGAAUACUAUUUUUGUCAUCUCCAUGCCUUCUACAAGUGUAUGGCUAUUGCUUUUUGUGAUACUAGUUUCUCGGCACGUUUGUUGCACGUGUAUGUCGAGUCAUAGUACGCGAUUUUGUAAAACAAUAUUUAUAUUAUUAAAUUAUAUUUUGAAUAAAUAUCAUUGGUAGGAGUACUUGCCGCUCCACCACAACCGUCAUUGGUAGAAGUGCAUAGCGAAAUCGGACUCAAAAGACUGCUGUCAUUGCUAGUUCUAUUCAAUUGCAGAAACUUAGUGUGUAUAUAUAUACAUGUCAUGGUUUACAGUUCACUAUUUUCAACACAAUUUUGUCUACUGCCCUCCAAUACCUAUUCCUCCAAUUGUCAUCUAUCAAGUACAACAGCAGAAAUACACCAGAUAUUCCUGCUACAAAGCCCGAGAAUAUUACUGCAAUAAAAAGGACAAUUUCUUAGUCGUAUCUGUUCUCUGUUGUUUCAGUGGUAGAGGGUCCAAUUUUACUGCAGUUCAUCCCAUCAGGAGAACCACAUAAGUAUCUGUUUCUGAUAUAUGCUGUUCCGUCUGGAUGUAGAGUGUCAAAAUGUGGAUGGGUAGGAAUCCGUUCGUUCAAAUUGUUGUAAGACAAGUUGAGAUACGCGAGAAAAUCCAACGUUGCCAAUGUCAUUGGAAUUUCACCUGAUAAUUGGUUGUAAGUGAGAUCCAAUGACUUGAGUGAAAUCAUCUCGCCAAUAGUCUUUGGGAUCAGCCCGGUCAGAUUAUUAUGUGAGAGAUGCACCCAUUAGUUAGAGAUAUGGGACGUGAAAUUAUACGCCAAGAUUCAACUAAGUAUCCUGAAAAGAGUAGAUUGUGGAAUUACAAGGACUCAUUAAAUGUUCUGAUAAAAAAAAUAGGUUCAGAUAUGAUUCCAAGGCCUGAGACUUAGGUUUUGUACAGCCAAAGAUAAGCCACCAAGAAUCUUCCAUCAUCCGGCAACAAAGGAGUACUUACAGGAAUGUGCCUACAUAAUGAGGAAAAUAAGGCUGUCACGCCAAAAUGAUCCAUCUAGGCAACCUCAGCCUCGUAAGAUCUCCUUUAUGAUUCUAAUAAAAACUCUUCCUUAAUAGAAUCACGUGGUAAACCAAUGAAGGUGGACUGCAUCAACACUGAUGCAUUUUCUGGUAUGCGCAAAUAAAGGCUGCUGCAGCUUGAUACUUAGCAGUUAAAGGAAAUUACAAGGAGCUCCCUAGGUCGUUGAGGUGGUUGUGUUAGCACCUCUUUCCUCUGAGUUGGGCUUCAACAUGGAAGUAUUAUACAGUGGGACUAAAACUCGUGUGAUUAGAUGUGUAUUGGGAGAAUUGUAAGUUGGAAAUGAUGAAGCACGUAAAUUUUUGUUUGUGGUGUAGACAAGUAGUGUCUCUAAUGUUUAAGUCUUUUCGUUGUGUAUUGUAAGAUGGAGAAUGCUUCAAUUCUUAUGUCCCGCGAGAAUCUCAUCUAAUGCCUUGUACCAAUCUUUAUCAGGCCGAGGAUUCUUAUAAAAAUUCAUAUCUUACAAUGUUUUGAUCAUGUGCUGCAAGACACAUGCCAAGAUCAUGUCGACAUCAAGCUUCAUUAGCUCAUGUUUCGUGCUUACACGUAUCCCUAGGGGUUAUCAUGAAUCUUUUUAACUGCCUUCGCAUAUUUUGUUGAGAAAAAAUGUUCAAUGCGAUGUUACGUUCUUUAUUCUACACUUUUAGAGCUUCAAAAGUCCCUACCCAUCAUUCGGGGACGAAUGACCCCAAGGGGGAGAUAAUGUAACACCCCGUACUUUCGGGCUAAAAUUUAGACCAUCGUUCCUACGCGUAUAGACCCAAAAUAAAUUAUUACUCGUUAAUAUAUGUGUGGUGAUCACUCCUAUAUGUGGGAAAACCUUUGAAUAUGAAUUGAGGUCACAAGAAUCCCCUAACUCUAUGACGAGUUGAAAACAAUUCCAUCGAUUAAGUUUUAGUAGACACUUCAACUUGGGUCAAAUUUCGUCGACCAUAACUUCUCUUAUAUAAUGAACUGGGUGUCCUGCUAUAUAUCAAAUGAAAGGUCUUUGAGUUUUCUUUCCAACGAAAUUUAUUUCGUCCAAAUCCAAUGUCGGAGUCAAAUGUUAUGCCUAUUUUACUUCAGCAUGUCAGCCUGUCAACCGAGGGACUGCUGCGAUCUUUUUUGUUUCCUUAGGGGUAUUUUCGUCCUUUCCCUCAUCUCACCUCAGCCACAACACGAAAUAAAAUCAGUAUUUGGGCAAAAUACAUCAAAAACUAAUCAAUUCCUCUCAAAAAUCCAACCCUAGUCCUUUCCCCAUAGAUCAAGAACUCAUCCCUAAGAUCAAGAAUUUCAAGAAAAGGAUCAAGAUCCGGGUUCCAUCUUUCAAACUAAAUAAUCUAAGGUACGUGGGGUUUUUCUAAACUACAUGGGGUUUUCAAAUCGAGAUGUAGGUCUCAAUUCCAUCAAAGUGAGCUUUCCCGUUUUCAAAGGUGAGAGUGAUUCCGAAGCCUACCUUGCAUGAGAGUUNNNNNNNNNNNNNNNNNNNNNNNNNNNNNNNNNNNNNNNNNNNNNNNNNNNNNNNNNNNNNNNNNNNNNNNNNNNNNNNNNNNNNNNNNNNNNNNNNNNNNNNNNNNNNNNNNNGGUAUGCUAAUACAUGGUGGGAGUAUGUUAAACGGUUUGGGAAUGAGAUGAUUGGGGGACAACCUCCUCCUUGGUUUCGAUUGAAGAACCUUAUGCGGCAAAGGUACUUGCCCGAGACUUAUAGGCAUGAGCUCCUUGCCAAAUUGUACAAUUUGAGGCAAGGGAGCAAGAGUGUCAUGGCUUUCUACGAUUAAUUUCAACAAUUGAUGUUGAAACUUGACCACUGAGGCGAGCAAGUAAGUCAUGACAUUGUGCACUUCAAGGUUGCACUUCAAGGUUGGGUUAAACAAGGACAUCUCCACUCGCAUGAUGCUUUACAAAUUCGACACCAUAGAUGGCAUCUUCCACGCGGCUUUAGAGGUUGGGAGGGAGCUCAAAGAGAACUCAUUCAUGGCUGCCCAACCUGAGGCCACCAAGGCUGUCCAAAAACAUCCUCCAAGAUAUGAAGGUAAAUUGAAUUCUACUUCCAAUCCCAAGGGGUUUCAAUGCUUCAAGUGUCAAGGGUGGGGGCACAAGGCUAAUGAGUGCCCAAACCGAAGGAAUAUAAACCUAAGGGAGAGUAGAUUGUACUAUCUUGGAGAAGAGGUCGGCAUUGAAUUGGUUAAGAAUGAUGGCAAACCGCAAGAUGGAGAGCAAGAAGAAGCCGAAGUGCAAAAUGAGGAGUAUGGAGAAGAUGUGUGGCCGCAAGAAGGAGAUUGUGAAGUGCCUUUGUAAAAGAGGUGAGCCUGUGAAUUUGUAGUUAAAUUCCUCUCAAGAUGGAGAGGAUGAUACAAGUUUGAUCAUGAUGAUGACACUUUUGAGUAUUUUUGUAGACUAGUCACUAAAGGGCCCUUUUGUCAUUUUAUCUAUUAUUGUAAUAUAGUAUAAAUAGAACAUUGUAGGGUUUAUUUCUUUAGUUGCUUAAUGAUAUUGAGAGAACACUCCUCUUAGAGGGCGAGAGUCCUAAAAUCGUAACUAGGGCCAUAUACAAGUGUGGAAUCACUUGUAUGUUGCAUUGCUUGAUACAUUGGUGCUUGGGUGGUGGACGCCUCUCUUGUGUCAAUUGUAAGAGAUAGGUGAUUAUAGUGUGUAGUGUUAAGGGUCCAAGAGUGUCAUAUGUUCUUGGGUUCUUAAGAUUAUACCUCCAUUGGUCUAUCUUUCUAUCUUUAUUUUGUUGUAACCGUUGGUAGUGUUCUUGUUGUGUAACCUUGUAAUUGUUCUAUUGUUGAAAUCUUAUUGUGUUGUUCAUCUUCUUCUUGUUGUUAAAUUAGUUUGGGUUGGCUGUUUUGGUGUCAAAUACACCAUUAUAUCUUGUAUUCUUGUUGUUGGUAGUGAAUCCGAGAGUGGUCACCAAAGGGGUCCUCGGUUCUUCAAACUUGUGGACUGUUUUUGUGUAUGUUUCGUGUCUUCUUGGUCUCUCUUGUAUCAAAGAGGAAGAAAUGAAGUUAUUACAAAUAAUGAGGCGGGAUGCCCUUUAGGCUUCUCAAUACCUUAUAUAAAUGGUCCAGUACUAUCCAAACGAUGUGCUUCCUUUUUCAUCAAGUUUUCAAUCAUCAAAGGUGACUAUGGCUGCCAUAUUAAUAGAAAAAAUUAAACAAACAAAAAUGCAAAAUAGUCAUCAGAAUUCUGGAGUUAAGCGUGUUUGAACUAGAAUAGGAUGGGUGGCCCCUUGGCCCUUGGGUAUGUCGUCAUAGUUGUUGUUGUUGUACAUAUUACGAAAAAACUAAUGCAUUCUGAAUUUUCUUCCAAAUAAAUGAUUUAUUUUACAAUUUAUUUUUUAGCGUGACACAUAAUUAGGUUUUGUCAUAAAAGCGGAAUAUAAUUCUGUUACAUCCAUUGUGAGAGCCUAGCAGUUGUUCUUCCAAAUGUUCUGAGAUUGUUCUACAACGAUUUUCUCGAUUCAUCAAAUCAAAUCAAAGUACACUCAUUCAGAUUUUUUGAUUGAUUAUCUUGGUCAUUGAGCAUGGUGAACAAUCGAACUUCAAAAUAGAACCACCCAGCACCGUGAUGAAGAAACUGGAGAUGACGCGUUGAUGAUUUGGAAGACCAAUAAUAUCAACUGGAUCGGAUAGCGACACUAAGAAAAGUCAGGAUUCAACUUCCUUUUGGCACAACCCCUAUGCACAAGUCCAAACUUUUUUUUUCUUCAUAUAGUUAAAUUUACUUUGUAUUUUUCUAAUAAAUCAAGCUUUAUAAAAACACCAGACAAUGGAUGUCACGCUUCAUUGCUUGCAAUUCAACAAUUAGGAACAAUCUCUUACAAAGCAAGACUUGGUUGACUUGCAGUCUUGAACAAUGUCUUUGGAGUUUGGCCUGAUUAGAGGAAUAAACAUGCCACCACAAUUACGGUUUGCAAGACUUGGUUGAUUCCAGUUACAUAUUUUUGAUUGCUUGAAUGAGAAAAUGGAAGUGUCAUUUGAAUGAGAAUUGACAUGCCGUCUUGCAAAAGUAUUUGGAGUUUGGACCUAUUAAAGAAAUAAUUUUGUCACCAUUACUACGGUUGCAAGUUGGUCAAGUGUUCGAGGCCCACAUAAGUUAGGGAACCAAUUAACUGAAGAGCUAAAUGACAACAACCAAUAAAAAUUAAUGUUGUGAUCUUUUUAAUAAUAAAAAAUUAUUAAAACAUCUCUAAAACAAGUAAAAGUUAAUUACCGUCAAGGUUUGUGGUGGGAUGGAUCAUAUAAGUCCUCUUUUAAUUACAGGUCUCAGGUUCGCAUACUGGAUAUGAAAACCCCUUUAAUGGGCCUUGCAUGGCAUAAAUUCGGAUUAGUCUCGGUUCCAACCCCCACUGGACAAGUAUUGUAGAACAUCUAUUUUUUGUAUUGUGAACAAGUAAAGAUGUAUUGAGGGAGUAAAUGUUUUUAGAUAUAUCUGUAUACUUUUCAUCUGACAGUUGUAGAGAAAAUGAAAGCAAGACUUGCUUGAAUUGCAAAUGUCUAUGGAGUUUGGAUAAACUAGAGGAAUAAUUUGGUCCCCAUAAUUACAGGUGCAGGGCCUACGUAUCCUAAAAAUGAAAUAUAGAAAACCAAGUAACUGAAGAGUCGAAUGAUAGGUGAAUUUUCGCACUAUAUUAUAAUUCAAUUUAAAAGUAAAUCACUAUAUUAUAAUUCUUAUUGAAAAGUAAAUGAUACAAGGAGUAUGGCGUUUCAGAUUAUGCAAUAGACAUCAUAGGCCGACAAUGAUGAAAUAACAACAAUUAUGCCAUUUUGAAAACUUGUGGAGAAAAAUAAAAUGUCGAGAUAACAAGAGAAUCCUCCAUUUUAAACAAACUAAAAAACAAUUAAAAUAAAAGAGAUAGAAAAUGUCUAGAAAACACCGAUACUUAAGAAAAGUUCACAAAUAAAAUGUUUGAAAGCUAUUUUGGCUUAAAACAUUUAAAAUAAGACAAUCCAAACAUGCUCCACAUGUUGUGUACUUAUUUAGAAUUUAAAAAAAUGUAAAAGCAUCCCAAAAAUUAAAAGUAAAUAGUCCCGUCGAGAUAUUAAACUACGAUAAAAUAAUUUGCUUACUGCGUUAUCUUUGAUCGAGAAUGUAAAUAGUUUUUCAUAUAUAUAUGUGUGUGUGUAUGUGUGUGUAUAUAUAUAUAUAUAUAUCCUAAAAAAUAAGUGACUAGAAUCAAUUAUAGACUAUGUUAGUGUACAUAACUUUAGUAGAAGGCAACUUAAGGGAGUGUCUGGAUUGAUUAGAGCAAUAACUUUUCCACCAAAUGUACAUUUAUAAAAACUUGUGUAUUUUUGGUCUUCUCCAAUUUUAUCAAAUCUUUGAGGCCCACAGAACCUGAAAAAUUUUCUAAAAUAAUGGCAGCCAAUACAAAUUAAUGUUAUAUAUUCUUUUAAUAAAAAAAAAAUUCUCAAAAACAUACCCUCAAACAAGUAAAAAUUGCAAAUAAAUUACAAACCAUAAUUAAAAGCUCCAUUUAUACUACCAUCUCAUUUUAAAAUGAGCUAAAUUAACUUCUACAAAAAGUAACUAGAAUGUAAAAGUCUACAGAUUCUGUCCUCGAUAGAGAUAAAUGGAUUAUAAACAUGUUAUGAUCAGUUAUAUAAACUAUCGGGAAAAAGGUCCAAAAAAUAUAUCUAAAUUUUGACGAAAUUUACUGUAACACGCUUUAACUUUAUGGAGGUCCUAUGAUCCCCUAAAUAAUAUUUUACCGUAUUUCUGUAGAUAUAUAUGCUUAACUAGAUCACUUUAGACCCUUAUACGCGCGGUGUGUAUUCAUAUACAGUGGUCUAGAUAGCAAAUAUAUGCCACAGAAAUACGGUAAAAAAUAACUAGAGGGUGAUAGGGCCUCCGCAAAGUUAAGACGUGUUACAACGAAUUAAUUUUGAUAAAGCUUAGGUAUAUUUCGGACCUUUCUCCCUAAACUAUCUUAAUCAUGUAAAAAUAAUUCUGAAGAAAAUAAAGGGGGAAUUUAUGAACCAUAUUUACAAUUCUAAUUGAAACGGGCAAGACUUGGUGAAAUUAGAAUUGAUAUGACCAGUGGUGGAACCAUAUCUUCGUUGAAAAUAUACAUUAAGUAGCUAGGUAAAAAUAUAUUUUUUAAUGCAUAUAUUACAUAUUGACACUUCUUGACAUAUGUCUCUACCGUUAAUGUGAGGGACAUAUACGUAUCAUUUCAUUAACGGUAGCGGCAUAUGUGUACCUAAUGUGUGACGGAUGAUAUAUACGUACCAUUUAUCAUAGUACGAGGAUAUAUUUGUCCAUUUAGUAGAAUAUCUGACGCUUGUCGAUACCAAUCGGAUGUGGAUAAGACAAUCAAUCAGUGAUAAUAUCAAUAGUCGAGUUUGUCAUAACAUCAAUAAAGAGUACAUAAAUAUGCCUUCACAAAACAACAUAGCCAACAUAGCAGUAUGGCGUUACAUAUUAGCCAAGCAACUCACCAAAUAUCUCCAGAAGUAGACCCUCUUGACUCAAUCAAGCAUCAUUGUCCAGUCGUGCUUGUAAUGCAUGAGUGUGGAAAGCACGUCUUAUGUGACAUAAUACACAUCAAACGUAAUGUAGGAAAAGAAUUAGCCACAUAGAACUUUUGUAGAAGGCAACUUGGAGAGUGUUUGGACUGAUUAGAGGAAUAACUUUGCCACCAAAUGUACGUUUAUAAAGAGUUGAUGUAUUUUUGGUCUUCUCCAAUUUUGUCAAGUAUUUGAGGCCCACAUAACCAGAAAAAUUCUCUAAAAUGAUAGUAGCCAAUACAAAUUAGAGCCCGUUGGGAUAGGAUUAAAAAAAUAAUUUUUUUAGCUUAAGUGAUUAAAAACUUAAAAUAAGUGCAUAUAAAUUAAGUAUAUAAGUGUUUGGAUAGAAGUGUUGACACUGAAAAAAAGUUGUUGAUGUGUUUGGUAAACAAGUGAUGUUAAACACUUUUUUAUUGUCAAAAUAACUUAAAUGUCCUUAAAGUUGUUAACACCAUAAAUAACGUGAAUUAUUUAUAAUUUUUAAUUCUAAAAUAAAAUUUUUGAGCAAACUUCCGAUGUAAUGAUGAAUUUGCUAAAAACAAAGGAGAAAGAUAAGAGGAAAUUGAAGGAAAGAGACGAACAGAAGCGAAAAAAAAGGAGAAAAAUAAUAUAUUUAUGGGCUACAAGUUUAUGGUAUAUAUCAUUGGAAUUAGAGGAAAAUAUAAGGGACAAAAAGAUAAAUAUUUUUGUCAAACCUUAAAGAAUUUUAAUCUAAGAAGUAAAAAGGUAGGGGUGCCCUGCUUCACACUUUCUACUUUUUUUAAUUAGUUUUUCUUUGCACUUUUUAAUUUUAUCAUACACUUAAAAAUGCUAAAAAAGAGAUUAAAAGUUGUUUUGAUCAGAAUUUAAUCCUAUCCAAGUCGGCUCUUAAUGUUGUGUAUUCUUUUAUAAAAAAUAAAGUUCAUAAAAACAUACUCUAAAACAAGUCAAAAUUUCAAACAAAUUAUAAACUAUAAUUAAAAGUUCCUUUUAUUACCAUCCCAUCCCAUGUAAAAGUCUACGGGUUCUGUCCUAACCAGAGAUCAAAGGAUUAUAUUAUAAACAUAUAAAAUAUGCAAAUCAUGUAAACAUAUUCUCGAACAUAUAUUAUAAGUUAAUAAAUAAAAUUAACCUAUUAGAGGAAUAUGGCAUACCAUGUUUGCACCACACAAUUCAAAUCUAGAUAAAAUAAAGCAAGACUUGGUUGACUUGCACAAGUCUAUGGCUGAUUGAAACGUGCAAGACUUGUUGAAAUUAAAAUUGAUAUGACCAAUGGCGGAGUCACAUAUUCAUCUAAAAAAUACAUUGUGUAGGUAUGUAAAAAUAUUUUUUAUGUAUAUAUUACAUAACGAUACUCUUUGAUUUUUUUAUGAGUUUACUUUUUAUAUUUUGAAUUUUUUUGAUAAAAAUUUUAAUUCUGCCACUAAAUAUAACAGAAUGAAUGAGGAAAACAUGAGUUUACUUCUUUAUAUUUUGAAUUUUUUUGAUGAAAAUUUUAAUUCUGCCACUAAAUAUAACAGAAUGAAUGAGGAAAAGUAUUUUUUUUCAAAAUCAUGAAGACCAAAAGGGAGACUUCAUUGCUAUUUGAAGUCUCAAAAUCACAUGUUAUGGAGCCUACCUACAAAUUUAUGCAAUAAUGGAGAAAGUCUUCACAUUUUUUCUCUUAACACUCUUGUUGCUUCUGGCUAGUUCAGCCAUGACUCAAACCAACGUUACCACUGAUCAAUUAGCUCUUUCGUCCUUAAAAUCUCAAAUCAUUUCCGACCCCUCUAACUUCUUGGAUGAAAACUGGUCUCCCGCUGUUUCUGUUUGUCAUUGGGUUGGAGUCACUUGUGGUUCUCGUCACCAACGAGUGAAAUCUUUGAAUCUUUCUAACAUGGCUCUUACUGGCAAGAUUCCUCGUGAAUUUGGAAACCUCUCAUUUCUUGUUUCUCUUGACUUGGGAAGCAACAAUUUCCAUGGAAAUUUGCCUCAAGAAAUGGCACGCUUGCGUCGGCUUAAGUUUCUUGAUUUAAGUUUCAACAGCUUCAGUGGGGAGGUUCCUUCUUGGUUUGGGAUUUUACACCAACUUCAAGUUCUAAAUCUUAGGAAUAAUAGUUUCACUAGUUCCAUCCCUUCUUCAUUUUCUAAUAUAUCCACACUUGAGACUUUGAAUCUGAAUUUCAAUUCUGUAGAGGGUUAAAUCCCAAAAGUGAUUGGAAGUCUCAUAAACCUUAGAGAACUAAAGUUAAGGGGCAACAAGCUCAUAGGUUCCAUUCCUCUGUCACUCUCGAAUGCCUAGAGGUUGGAGACUUUAGAUAUAACUCUUAAUUCACUUCAAGGAAACAUCCCAGAAGGGAUCGGCAAUCUUCACAAUUUACAAGAUAAUCAACUUACGGGGUCUAUACCAUUCACAAUUUUCAAUAUUUCUAGGAUCAAAAUCAUUGCAUUUACCUACAAUAGCUUAUCCGGAAAUCUCCCCAAUAGUUUAUGCAAUGGUCUCCAAAUACUCCAAGAGCUUUAUCUAUCCGCAAACAAGCUUCAUGGUCAUAUGCCUACAAGCUUAUCAAAUUGUUCCCAACUUCAACUAUUGUCUUCAUCAGAAAAUGAGUUUGAUGGACCAAUACAUAGUAAAUUGGAAGAUUGAGUAACUUGCAGAUAUUAGAACUCUCAUAUAACCAUUUCACAGGUAUGUUUUUAUCUUCUGAAUUGCUUCAGAAUUUUAUUUAUUACACGGAUAAUUUCAGUUAUUGAAUUAAUUGAGGUAUCAAAUAUAUUUAUCAUCUAUACUUAAUUUUUUUCUUUUUUCUUUUAAUACUUUCGUAUCACCAACAAUAUAAAAUUCUAAAAUCUUAGUGGAUUCUACCAUGGGAGAUUGACAAUUUAAACAAGGCUCAAUUCUUAUAUCUUAGCAAAAAUAGAUAAAACCAACUAUUUAAACUCAUUAGUAAUCCACUAUAUGUGUUUCCAGGUGAAAUACCCAAAGAGAGAAGCAAUCUAGUUGAGUUGAAGAAACUUGUUCUUGGGAUUAAUAGUUUUAGUGGUUCACUUGAUAUGGAGAUCUUCAACAUAUCAGGGCUGAGAAUAAUUGAUCUUUCAGUCAACAAUCUAUCAGGAAGCCUCCCACCAAACAUGUGUUCUAUCUUACCCCACAUUGAAGUGCUUUAUCUGCACAACUUAACCAAUCUUGUUGGGACUAUUCCUCAUUCCAUCUCCAAUUGUUCAAAACUUAAUAAUCUAGAACUUUCAGAAAACAAACUCACUAGCUUGAUUCCCAACUCACUUGGAUAUUUGACUCAUCUACAGUUACUAAAUUUACCGGGAAACAAUUUCACCAGCGAUUCAGCAUUAAGCUUCCUGACUUCCUUAGCCAAUUGUAGAAAUUUAACAGUUCUUGAUAUAUCUUUUAACCCUCUAAAUGGCAUGUUAACAGCCUCCAUAGGGAACCUUUCUACAUCUCUUAGAAAAUUUAUCGCCAUCAGUUGUAAAAUCCAAGGGCGAAUUCAAAAUGAAGUUGGGAACUUAAGCAGCUUAUUAUUCCUUGAUCUUUCUGGAAACAAUUUGGCAACUUGAGAAACCUUCAGCGCUUCGACUUGAGUAACAACGAAUUAACAGGAUUUGUUGGAGAUCAUAUAUGUAAACUGCAGCGUUUUGGGGAAAUUUACUUGGGUCAAAAUCAACUUUCAGGAUCUCUUCCUAAUUGUUUAGGGAAUAUUACUUCCCUUAGGGAGAUACAUCUGGGUUCCAACAAAUUGAGUUCCAAUAUACUACCAAGCUUAGGGAACCUUCAAGAUCUAGUGGUUCUUGACUUAUCAUCAAACAACAUGGUAGGUUCUUUACCUCCAGAAAUUGGAAAUCUAAAGGCUGCGACACUGAUAGAUCUGUCAAUGAAUCAAUUUUAAAAAAGAAUUCCAAGAGAAAUUGGAGGAUUGCAGAGUUUGGCAAACCUUACUUUGAGACACAACAGGUUGCAAGGAGCUAUACCUGACUCAAUGAGCAACAUGGUAGGUUUGGAAUUCCUAGACCUUUCAUAUAACAAUAUAUCUGGAAUCAUUCCUAAGUCUUUGGAGAAACUUCAAAACUUGAAGUAUUUCAAUGUUUCUGUCAACAAAUUCUAUGGUGAAAUACCCUCGGGAGGUCCUUUCCAGAACCUCUCGAGUCAGUUUUUCAUCCACAAUGAAGCAUUGUGUGGUUCUUCAAGAUUUAGUGUCCCGCCAUGCCCCACUUCUUCAAAGCAUAGAUCUAGUAGGAAAAAAUUACUAGUUCUUUUUCUUUUGCUGGGAAUUGCACUAGUAGUUGUUCCUAGAACCUUUAUUUUUUUCUGGAUAAGGUAUAGAAAAGGUAAAAGAGCUCCUCAACAAGCUGAUUCAUUGUCUUCCAUAACAAGAGAAAGAAUUUCAUACUAUGAAUUGAUCCAAGCAACUGAUGCGCUUAGUGAGAGUAAUCUGAUUGGUUCUGGAAUUUUUGGCUCUGUUUACAAAGGUAUUCUCAGAAGUGGAACUGCCAUUGCAGUUAAAGUGUUCAACCUGCAACUGGAUGCGGCAUUCAAGAGUUUUGAUACUGAAUGUGAAGUUUUGUGCAGCCUUCGCCAUAGGAAUCUCGUUAAAGUCAAUACUAGUUGUUCCAAUCUUGAUUUCAAAGCUUUAGUGCUUGAGUAUAUGCCUAAUGGA
RNAcentral lists this long non-coding RNA (17864 nucleotides) under Capsicum annuum. RNAcentral describes it as "long non-coding RNA (CANN_LNC007389)". The record is from RNAcentral. Lineage: Eukaryota; Viridiplantae; Streptophyta; Magnoliopsida; Solanales; Solanaceae.